Phascolarctos cinereus (koala) is the source of this 1238-nucleotide long non-coding RNA. RefSeq lists it as uncharacterized. NCBI's taxonomy places the organism in Eukaryota, Metazoa, Chordata, Mammalia, Diprotodontia, Phascolarctidae. The record is from RefSeq and is a predicted model, not a curated record.
AAUACUACACAUAUAUUUCAUACAUUCCUGAGUUGUUAAACUUUUUCUUUGUUGUCUGCUGGCCUUCAUGUGUCAUCUGUGACUUCCACAAAUUCCCCAAAUUCCCAUGUAAUUUCUUAUGCCAAACUUCGAUAUAUCAAAACUAUGAUGGGAAAAGUCCCAAUGUGGAAGGGAUAACUAUUCCUUUUUCUUGGGAUGUGGAAAGUCAAUUUACAAGGUCAUUUAAGAAAAUCUUUCGAUCAAUAUGGGUUUAUUUUCUCUCCUCUUACCUCACUCUCUAAUUUAAAGGAAAAACAAAACCUUCCUAGCAAAUAUACGCAAUCAAGCAAAACAAAUGCCCACACUGACCAUGUUUAAAAAUGUGUGCCUCCGCAUCUUGUAUCUAUAUCUCGAUCAGGGGCGGGUCCUAUCUGUGCUCCUCUAGAAUCAUAUUUGGUCACUGAAUUAAUUAGAGCUCUUGAGUCUUUCCAAGUACAAGGUUCUUCUCAUUCUGCCAUACUUUUGUGAAAAUGAAGAAGUUUCUGUUUUGGCAAUGGCAGUAGUCCUAUGUAUCCGAUAUCCUGGGUAACCCUUUAGUUUCUUGCCAAGGAAUACAGGCUAGACAGGUAAGGAUGGCAUUUUAGUGAAGCCCAUUAAGCCUUCAUAGCUCAAAUCUGCAUUCAGAUUUCUGAAAUACUUUGUACAGUGUGGUAAAGUCAUAUUUACCAAGUGCCUUCCUCACUGUACUCCUAUGAGGGAGGUAGUAAAAAUCUUAUUGCCAUUUUCCAGAUGAAGAAACUAAGACUGAGAGAUUAAGUAACUUGAGACAGGGCAUCCAGCUAAGAAGUGUUUAAAUCAGCACUGCUACACCUCAAUCUUGCUAUAGAGAUGUCCCAGAGAUGGUCAUAUUUGUGCAAAAUAGUAAUGAUACAUUGAGAGACCAUUCAGCAUGGAGGACAGGAGCUGGUCUUGGCAUCAAGAAUCCAGGAAGACACGGAUUCAUCUUUCCUGUGAUACCUACUGGCCAGAUGAUCCUGGUGACAUGAGUUAACAUCUGAGUCAUCACGAGGAUACAGCAUGGGCUUGGAGAUAGAGAUGACUUCUGAUGCCUUUCAUCAUUCAAAAGGUGAUCGAAAUGUACAUUGAAUGUAGGCUGUUCUGAGAAUGUGAAGCCUUGAAGCAACAAGAAUGCUUAUUUGUUGUGGCCCAGUGCCAAAGGAUACAGGCUAGACAGAUGAGCCAACCAGACCAAGCAUUGA